This 125-nucleotide small nucleolar RNA is filed under the name Jaculus jaculus (lesser Egyptian jerboa). Its description in RNAcentral is "Small nucleolar RNA SNORA33 (ENSJJAG00000007580.1)". The record is from RNAcentral. Lineage: Eukaryota; Metazoa; Chordata; Mammalia; Rodentia; Dipodidae.
AGGCCACCAAUUGGUAUGCUAAUCUGAAUGUGUUCCUGCAGAAACAUAUUGAAAGCUGGCAAUAGUGAUGCCAUGUUACAAACCUUAAGACAGCUGAGGUCAAGUGCCUGAAAAAGGCUACAAUA